AAAAAAAGUUUCUCUCAGUCUAAAAGCGUUCGCUAUGAUAUCGGGCUGCAACUACGUAUACCAAAAAUUAAAAAAGAGAAAAGUAUUAUAGUGAUUGGAAAUAAUUUCAAGUUCUAGUACUCCUAUACAUUUUUGUACUUGUACUGAAUCAUCGUUGCCUGCAAAAUUACUCAUAGGAAAUGAGCAACCUGAGACUUCUGGACUACUAUCAGAACUGAACCAGAACUAUUGUACCAUCUAACCCACCCCUGAGAGCGCAUCUCCUAGAAGCAUCAAAUCGCAAACCAAAACAAACCGCCGGCAGAGGCAGCGGCGGUGGCAGAAGGAAGGCAGCAGUUUCCCAGCGCCAGCAGAGACGUUGACGUGACGGUGACGUCGUCGUCGACUGGUUACUGCCGACUUCGACCGCCGCUCCUCCUCCGCUGCCCGCGGCCUCUGCCCGGAGACGGAAACCUGUAGCAUUGCUGCGGGGUCGACCUGGCUGCAACUCCAGCUUUCGAGCCACCUUCUUGCAUAAUCGAAAGCCGAAAAGGUGCCACGAUAUAGGCGAAAAUUUAGGGUUCGAUCAAAGGCCGUCGAGGGGGUGGAGUGAACGGUACAUUUUGUUGGUAUACUCAUAAAAACGAAACGAAAGCUGCCUGUUUGGUAUCCGGUAUCUACAGUGCGGCCCUAAAGUAUUAACGCAGCCGGAAUGUGUAACUUUCUUUUUUAACAGGAAGGUAAAACUGUAAACUUAUUUAUUUUAAAGUAUAUAUCGUAUUUUAAAAUGUUGUGAUAAA
This is a long non-coding RNA of Drosophila subpulchrella, 779 nucleotides long. RefSeq lists it as uncharacterized. The transcript has 2 exons. The record is from RefSeq and is a predicted model, not a curated record. NCBI's taxonomy places the organism in Eukaryota, Metazoa, Arthropoda, Insecta, Diptera, Drosophilidae.